This is a non-coding RNA of Mycena rebaudengoi, 93 nucleotides long. The record is from the annotation of a GenBank genome assembly. Lineage: Eukaryota; Fungi; Basidiomycota; Agaricomycetes; Agaricales; Mycenaceae.
GGCCCAGUGGUGGAUGGUCCGCAUCUGCGAAACGUGAAACUGACAAUAGUGGGUUACAAGCAGAAGACGCUCGUUCGAUUCGAGCCUGGGCCA